UACCUGCAGCUCGAGUGGUAACCGCUAUUAUUGGGCCUAAAGCGUCCGUAGUCGGUUUGGUAAAUAUCUGGGUAAAUCGUGAGGCUUAACUUCACGAAUUUCGGAUAGACUGCCAGACUUGGGAUCGGGGGAGGUCAGAGGUACUCCAGGGGUAGCGGUGAAAUGUUGUAAUCCUUGGAGGACCACCGGUAGCGAAGGCGUCUGACUAGAACGAGUCCGACGGUGAGGGACGAAGCCCUGGGGCGCAAACCGGAUUAGAUACCCGGGUAGUCCAGGGUGUAAACGAUGUGGGCUUUGUAUUGGAGGUCCCACGUGGGCGUCCAGUGCAGAAGAGAAGUUGUUAAGCCCACCGCCUGGGAAGUACGGUCGCAAGGCUGAAACUUAAAGGAAUUGGCGGGGGAGCACAGCAACGGGAGGAGCGUGCGGUUU
This 429-nucleotide ribosomal RNA is filed under the name uncultured archaeon. Its description in RNAcentral is "bacterial SSU rRNA". It matches the Rfam family "Archaeal small subunit ribosomal RNA", at positions 474 to 903 of the family's 1478-position model. The record is from RNAcentral.